CACGACUACAUUAGAUACCCGCGUAGUCCCAGCCGUAAACUAUGCGCGUUAGGUGUAUCGGUGACCACGAGUUACCGAGGUGCCGAAGGGAAACCGUGAAACGUACCGCCUGGGAAGUACGGUCGCAAGGCUGAAACUUAAAGGAAUUGGCGGGGAGCACCACAACAGGUGGAGCCUGCGGUUUAAUUGGACUCAACGCCGGGAAGCUCACCGGAUAGGACAGCAGAAUGAUUGCCGGGCUGAAGACCCUGCAUGACUAGCCG
This 263-nucleotide ribosomal RNA is filed under the name uncultured archaeon. RNAcentral's name for it is "partial 16S ribosomal RNA". It matches the Rfam family "Archaeal small subunit ribosomal RNA", at positions 718 to 982 of the family's 1478-position model. The record is from RNAcentral.